Molecule: long non-coding RNA, 1059 nt
Organism: Empidonax traillii (willow flycatcher)
Lineage: Eukaryota; Metazoa; Chordata; Aves; Passeriformes; Tyrannidae
Exons: 2
Source: RefSeq, a predicted model, not a curated record
AGGAACACAAACACCAGUCGCUUCCCCUGGCCAGCAGUGGUAGCCGUCCUGCUCCUCCUCUGCAGUUCCCUAAUAGCUGUGGGCAUCAGGAAAUGGUGUCAGUACCAGAAAGAGAUUAUGAACAGACCUCCAUCUUUCAAGCCACCACCACCUCCAAUAAAGUACACCUCCAUGGUGGAGUCUGAUGGGACUGCCCCAUCCUGCCACGAACUAGAAAACCUGUAACAUUGCCUACACCCCUCGUGUAGCUUGCAGAAGACUGACACAAUUAAAAAGCUCUGUGUUUAGAACAGUGACUGCAGGAGCUGGGUGUUAAUGACCCAUAUUAAAAUUCAGAGUGCCUACAUGACAUUACUGUUGGAAGCUGAGCAUUCCUUAGGACACUUCAUCCUGUCUAUCUCCAUGUAUGCAUUACGUUAACACCGUUGUGUCACCGUGAGAUUACACGUGCUUCAUUUGAAUUAGGUGAUCGACUGGGAAUUUCCUGUCUUUUUAAUGGGAGCAGAUUAACACAUCACUCCUCCAGCCUGACUGAAGAGUGCUGAAGCUUCUCUUUUACUGAGUGCAUAGAGAUGACAGCUCUGCUGUAUGGACACCACGGUUACAGUGGCUUCACACAAGUUUUUUGAUACCUACACGAGUCGUUCUUGCAAUUAUUUUUUUCAAUUGUGGACUAACAUGACCAACUUAGUAUUUUCUAUCACCUUGAAACCAAACAAAAAACAAUCAGCAUUUUAUACAGAAAGAAAAUAUCUGCAUCUCUCAGCACGGGGUUGCAGCACAGGAUCAUGUGGAGGGGUUGGUGAGAUGAAAGGUCAUGGUGCAGGCCUGGUGCAAGUGUUUGUGAAGAAGAUUCAGUUGUCAUUGGUGAAAUCACAGAAAACAGUCAACUUUGGGCUCAUGCACAAGCCACCUGUGGGCCAGAGACUUGAGGACUGAAGUGAACAAUGAGCUUAAAGAUAAUAGAAAAUUCUAAUCCUUUUAGAAGUGCUUUGCCUCUGAAACAGUGCUUACAUUUGAGUCUGUUUUUGUGGAAUUAUAUUUUUGAUACCCACUAAG